This 173-nucleotide ribosomal RNA is filed under the name Acinetobacter baumannii. RNAcentral's name for it is "partial 23S ribosomal RNA". It matches the Rfam family "Bacterial large subunit ribosomal RNA", at positions 1 to 174 of the family's 2925-position model. Lineage: Bacteria; Pseudomonadati; Pseudomonadota; Gammaproteobacteria; Moraxellales; Moraxellaceae. The record is from RNAcentral.
AGUCAAGUAAUUAAGUGCAUGUGGUGGAUGCCUUGGCAGUCAGAGGCGAUGAAAGACGUGAUAGCCUGCGAAAAGCUCCGGGGAGGCGGCAAAUAUCCUUUGAUCCGGAGAUGUCUGAAUGGGGGAACCCACCUACUUUAAGGUAGGUAUUGCAACAUGAAUACAUAGUGUUG